AUGUAAAGAGCUGUACUUUGUCCUGAAUGAAGAGUUAUGUUUGGGACAAAUCCAACCCAUUACGGAGUACCACUCGCCAUAUUUUCAAGCAUGGUUGGUGGCUUCAGGUUCUGGGUAUGCUUGUCAUUGGCAAGGACAAGUUUUUUUUUUUUUUUAGGAAACAGAGCUAUAAGCACAGGCAAAAUCCUAGAGGAAUCCCUGGUUGUCUGCUUUCCAACAAACACUGGGAGACAAUUUCACCUUUCAGCAGGACAAUAACCUAAAACAUGGCCAACUAUACACGAGUUGCUUACCAAGAUGAUGAAUGUUCCUGAGGGGCCUAGUUUGACUUAAUGCAGCUUGAAAAAGUUUAGCAAUGAUCAGCAACCAACUUGAGAGCUUGAAGCUUUUUUUUUUUUUUUACAGAAUAAUGGGCAAAUAUUGUACAAUCCAGGUGUGCAAAUCUUUUAGAGACUUUCCCCAGAAAGACAGAUGUAAUCACUGCCAAAGGUGAUUCUAAUGUGUAUUGACUCGGGGUUAAAUACUUACCUAAUCAAGAUACUGUAUAUUUGUUUACUUUUUCAUGUGGAGUAAGUCGUGACCCCUUUCUGAAAGGACUGUACUGCUCAUGUUCUUGUGGAAAGAUACUGUUUUCAUACCAUCUUCACUUCAGCUGCUGUGAGGGAUGAUCUCUCCGGUUUGUUUUACCCAGGGUAGGUUUCCAGUUGGCCUUAACCCAGGGUAGGUUUCCAGUUGGCCUUAACCCAGGGUAGGUUUCCAGUUGGCCUUAACCUAGGGUAGGUUUUUUGUGUGGCCUUAACCCAGGGUAGGUUUCCAGUUGGCCUUAACCCAGGGUAGGUUUCCAGUUGGCCUUAACCUAGGGUAGGUUUUUUUGUGUGGCCUUAACCCAGGGUAGGUUUCCAGUUGGCCUUAACCUAGGGUAGGUUUUUUUGUGUGGCCUUAACCCAGGGUAGGUUUCCAGUUGGCCUUAACCUAGGGUAGGUUUUUUGUGUGGCCUUAACCCAGGGUAGGUUUCCAGUUGGCCUUAACCUAGGGUAGGUUUUUUAGUUAGCCUUAACCCAGGGUACGUUUCCAGUUGGCCUUAACCCUCACAGUUGGACCUUUUGAGUACCUGUUACCCUCACACCACCUGCUAGUGUUUGAUCAUCUGUACUCUUGUCUAGGUACUGGCUCCAAUGCCGGUACGUGUUGAACCUCUUAGCUUUUAGCCUACUGCUCUUUUACCACCCAAAUGGUGCCUGUACCACAGACGCUGUCACAUGCUAAAUAAAGUACUUGUAGAAUAAA
Oncorhynchus masou masou (cherry salmon) is the source of this 1287-nucleotide long non-coding RNA. RefSeq lists it as uncharacterized. The record is from RefSeq and is a predicted model, not a curated record. The transcript is spliced from 2 exons. Lineage: Eukaryota; Metazoa; Chordata; Actinopteri; Salmoniformes; Salmonidae.